UACGUAGGGGGCGAGCGUUGUCCGGAGUUACUGGGCGUAAAGGGCACGCAGGCGGUGCGGCGCGUUUCGCGUGACAGCGGAGGGCUUAACUCUCCGAGGAUGCGAAAGACGGCGGCACUUGAGGGCCAGAGAGGGACACGGAAUUCCGGGUGGAGUGGUGAAAUGCGUAGAGAUCCGGAGGAACACCGAAGGCGAAGGCAGUGUCCUGGCUGGUGACUGACGCUGAGGUGCGAAAGCCAGGGGAGCGAACGGG
RNAcentral lists this ribosomal RNA (253 nucleotides) under uncultured bacterium. Its description in RNAcentral is "partial 16S ribosomal RNA". It matches the Rfam family "Bacterial small subunit ribosomal RNA", at positions 524 to 776 of the family's 1533-position model. The record is from RNAcentral.